UCAACGGGUGGCAGCAGUGAGGAAUAUUGGUCAAUGGCCGAGAGGCUGAACCAGCCAAGUCGCGUGAGGGAAGACGGCCCUACGGGUUGUAAACCUCUUUUGUCGGGAGCAAAGCGAACCACGUGUGGUUCAUUGAGAGUACCCGAAGAAAAAGCAUCGGCUAACUCCGUGCCAGCAGCCGCGGUAAGACGUAGGGGGCAAGCGUUAUCCGGGUUUACUGGGGGUAAAGGGAGCGUAGACGGCAGCGCAAGUCUGAAGUGAAAUGCCGGGGGUUAACCCCGGAACUGCUUUGGAAACUGUGCAGCUAGAGUGCAGGAGAGGUAAGUGGAAUUCCUAGUGUAGCGGUGAAAUGCUUAGAGAUCAUACAGAACACCGAUUGCGAAGGCAGCUUACCAAGCUACUUCUGACGUUGAGGCACGAAAGCGUGGGGAGCAAACAGGAUUAGAUACCCGAGUAGUC
Molecule: ribosomal RNA, 459 nt
Filed under: uncultured bacterium
Lineage: Bacteria
Description: partial 16S ribosomal RNA
Rfam family: Bacterial small subunit ribosomal RNA
Source: RNAcentral